GCCUACGACCAUCUCACCCUGAAUGCGCCCGAUUUCGUCUGAUCUCGGAAGCUAAGCAGAGUUGAGCAUGGGUAGUACUUGGAUGGGAGACUGCCUGGGAAUACCAGGUGUUGUAGGCU
Molecule: ribosomal RNA, 119 nt
Filed under: Petromyzon marinus (sea lamprey)
Lineage: Eukaryota; Metazoa; Chordata; Hyperoartia; Petromyzontiformes; Petromyzontidae
Source: RNAcentral